GAUGAACGCUGGCGGCGUGCCUAACACAUGCAAGUCGAACGGAGAUUACGGACGGAAGUUUUCGGAUGGAAGCCUGUAAUUCUUAGUGGCGGACGGGUGAGUAACGCGUGGGCAACCUGCCCUAUACAGGGGGAUAGCAGCUGGAAACGGCUGGUAAGACCGCAUAAGUCGGUUAAAUCGCAUGAUUUGAUCGGGAAAUGAGCAAUCAGGUAUAGGAUGGGCCCGCGUCCGAUUAGCCAGUUGGCAGGGUAAAAGCCUACCAAAGCGACGAUCGGUAGCCGGACUGAGAGGUCGGACGGCCACAUUGGGACUGAGACACGGCCCAAACUCCUACGGGAGGCAGCAGUGGGGGAUAUUGCACAAUGGAGGAAACUCUGAUGCAGCGACGCCGCGUGAGUGAAGAAGUAUUUCGGUAUGUAAAGCUCUAUAAGCAGGGAAGAUGAUGACGGUACCUGACUAAGAAGCCCCGGCUAACUACGUG
This 481-nucleotide ribosomal RNA is filed under the name uncultured bacterium. RNAcentral describes it as "partial 16S ribosomal RNA". It matches the Rfam family "Bacterial small subunit ribosomal RNA", at positions 28 to 507 of the family's 1533-position model. The record is from RNAcentral.